ACAAUGCGCGAACUAUAAACAACUUCAUUGUUUUGCGAAAACAUGAAAUAAGCUAGCGUUUUAAAUUUGUUUUUCAAAGUUGCAAAAUACUCGACAAGAGGAAAAUUAGAUAUCAACGUUUGAUAAAACAAGAUGUCAAACGAAUUUCCACGUAAUUUUAUGUUUCCUACGAAAGUAAUCCAUGUUCGAUCCACCUGAGCCACCUCCAUUAAGUUUCCUACCUACAUUAAUUCACAUCUGAAUUUAUCCCUGCUGCAACGCCGCGUCCGCGUUACUGGGCGGGAGGUUGAGGGAAAAAAUACCUAGAGAGGUUCGACCUAAUUAUCCAAGGGAUAAUCUUCCAUGGCUAGCACGAACCCUGGUAUGCAUUGCAAAUACACGGAGAACGAAGAAGAUGGGAC
This is a long non-coding RNA of Eufriesea mexicana, 401 nucleotides long. RefSeq lists it as uncharacterized. The transcript has 3 exons. The record is from RefSeq and is a predicted model, not a curated record. NCBI's taxonomy places the organism in Eukaryota, Metazoa, Arthropoda, Insecta, Hymenoptera, Apidae.